GUCUAUGGCCAUGCCACCCUGAAUGUGCCGGAUCUUCUCUGAUCUCAGAAGCUAAGCAGGGUUGGGCUUGGUUAGUACUUAGAUGGGAGACUACCUUGGAAUACCAGGUGUUGUAGGCA
RNAcentral lists this ribosomal RNA (119 nucleotides) under Pteropus alecto (black flying fox). Lineage: Eukaryota; Metazoa; Chordata; Mammalia; Chiroptera; Pteropodidae. The record is from RNAcentral.